RNAcentral lists this ribosomal RNA (460 nucleotides) under uncultured bacterium. RNAcentral's name for it is "partial 16S ribosomal RNA". It matches the Rfam family "Bacterial small subunit ribosomal RNA", at positions 338 to 795 of the family's 1533-position model. The record is from RNAcentral.
CCUACGGGAGGCAGCAGUGAGGAAUAUUGGUCAAUGGGCUCGAGCCUGAACCAGCCAAGUAGCGUUAAGGAUGACUGCCCUAUGGGUUGUAAACUUCUUUUAUAAAGGAAUAAAGUGAGGCACGUGUGCCUUUUUGUAUGUUCUUUAUGAAUAAGGAUCGGCUAACUCCGUGCCAGCAGCCGCGGUAAUACGGAGGAUUCGAGCGUUAUCCGGAUUUUUUGGGUUUAAAGGGAGCGUAGAUGGGUUGUUAAGUUAGUUGUGAAAGUUUGCGGCGCAACCGUAAAAUUGCAAUUGAUACUGGCAGUCUUGAGUACAGUUGAGGUAGGCGGAAUUCGUGGUGUAGCGGUGAAAUGCUUAGAUAUCACGAAGAACUCCGAUUGCGAAGGCAGCUUACUAAACUGCCACUGACAUUGAUGCUCGAAAGUGUGGGUAUCAAACAGGAUUAGAUACCCCAGUAGUC